CAGGUGGUGCAUGGUUGUCGUCAGCUCGUGUCGUGAGAUGUUGGGUUAAGUCGCGCAAAGAGCGCAACCCUUGUCUUUAGUUGCCAUCAUUAAGUUGGGCACUCUAGAGAGACUGCCAGGGAUAACCUGGAGGAAGGUGGGGAUGACGUAAAAUCAUCAUGCCCCUUAUGCUUAGGGCUACACACGUGCUACAAUGGGUAGUACAGAGGGUUGCCAAGCCGUAAGGCGGAGCUAAUCCCUUAAAGCUACUCUCAGUUCGGAUUGUAGGCUGAAACUCGCCUACAUGAAGCUGGAGUUACUAGUAAUCGCAGAUCAGAAUGCUGCGGUGAAUGCGUUCCCGGGUCUUGUACACACCGCCCGUCACACCACGGGAGUUGGAGACGCCCGAGGCCGAUUAUGUAGCCUUUUGGCAGAAGUCGUCCAAGGUGGGAUUAAUAUCUUGUGUGAAGUCGUAACAAGGUAGCCGUAUCGGAAGAUGCUGCUGGAUCACCUCCUUUCUAAGGA
Molecule: ribosomal RNA, 504 nt
Filed under: Clostridioides difficile
Lineage: Bacteria; Bacillati; Bacillota; Clostridia; Peptostreptococcales; Peptostreptococcaceae
Description: bacterial SSU rRNA
Rfam family: Bacterial small subunit ribosomal RNA
Source: RNAcentral